CUCUGGUAUUGAUUGGUGCUUGCAUCAUGAUUUACAUUUGAGUGAGUGGCGAACUGGUGAGUAACACGUGGGAAACCUGCCCAGAAGCGGGGGAUAACACCUGGAAACAGAUGCUAAUACCGCAUAACAACUUGGACCGCAUGGUCCGAGUUUGAAAGAUGGCUUCGGCUAUCACUUUUGGAUGGUCCCGCGGCGUAUUAGCUAGAUGGUGAGGUAACGGCUCACCAUGGCAAUGAUACGUAGCCGACCUGAGAGGGUAAUCGGCCACAUUGGGACUGAGACACGGCCCAAACUCCUACGGGAGGCAGCAGUAGGGAAUCUUCCACAAUGGACGAAAGUCUGAUGGAGCAACGCCGCGUGAGUGAAGAAGGGUUUCGGCUCGUAAAACUCUGUUGUUAAAGAAGAACAUAUCUGAGAGUAACUGUUCAGGUAUUGACGGUAUUUAACCAGAAAGCCACGGCUAACUACGUGCCAGCAGCCGCGGUAAUACGUAGGUGGCAAGCGUUGUCCGGAUUUAUUGGGCGUAAAGCGAGCGCAGGCGGUUUUUUAAGUCUGAUGUGAAAGCCUUCGGCUCAACCGAAGAAGUGCAUCGGAAACUGGGAAACUUGAGUGCAGAAGAGGACAGUGGAACUCCAUGUGUAGCGGUGAAAUGCGUAGAUAUAUGGAAGAACACCAGUGGCGAAGGCGGCUGUCUGGUCUGUAACUGACGCUGAGGCUCGAAAGUAUGGGUAGCAAACAGGAUUAGAUACCCUGGUAGUCCAUA
This 763-nucleotide ribosomal RNA is filed under the name Lactiplantibacillus plantarum. RNAcentral describes it as "bacterial SSU rRNA". It matches the Rfam family "Bacterial small subunit ribosomal RNA", at positions 70 to 799 of the family's 1533-position model. The record is from RNAcentral. Lineage: Bacteria; Bacillati; Bacillota; Bacilli; Lactobacillales; Lactobacillaceae.